UUUCUGGAGGUCCCUCCUUUGUGAAGUUUUUCCUUCAAACCAAGAUUAUUCUGAUACAGGUGAGGUUCAAAUCGCAGGACAAGAAGAGCAUACUCCAAAAAUAAAAGCAGACUUUGGCUCAUGCUGCCCAGCAAAUUCCUAUAUGAAAGCAGGAGGAUUUCAGUGUGAAUAUUUGGAAAAAUACUGGUAUAUAGAGGACAAAGGCCAUUCUUCUCUUCUGGAGAGUAGCAAGGCAAUAAAAAAGGCAAGUUUAUUUCUUGUGUAGU
Lagopus leucura (white-tailed ptarmigan) is the source of this 266-nucleotide long non-coding RNA. RefSeq lists it as uncharacterized. NCBI's taxonomy places the organism in Eukaryota, Metazoa, Chordata, Aves, Galliformes, Phasianidae. The record is from RefSeq and is a predicted model, not a curated record. The transcript has 3 exons.